GACGAACGCUGGCGGCGGGCUUAACACAUGCAAGUCGAACGGAAACGCAGUGAGUGUUUGUUGUGCUGGAGUGCGGAAGGGGUAAGUGUCACGUGAGUAACCUGCUCUUGACUUUGGGGUAGGUUCAGGAAACUAGGGCUACUACCGGAUAGGAGCUCCUGCUGGAUUGUGGGCGGGGGAUAUUUUGGGCGGUUGGGGAUGGAUGCGCGGCUUAUCAGUUAGUUGGUGGGGGAGUGGCAUACCAACGCUUUGACGGGUAGGCGGCCGGAGUGGGUGACCGGCGACAAUGGGACUGCGAUACGGCGCAGACGCCUACGGGAGGCAGCAGUGGGGAAUAUGGCACAACGAGCGGAAGCCUGAUGAAGCAGCGCCGCGGGCGGGAUGCCGGCCUUCGGGGUGUAAACAGCUUCCGCCUGUGACGAAGCGGGAGUGACGGUAACGGGUGAAUAAGCACCGGCUAACUACGUG
Molecule: ribosomal RNA, 468 nt
Filed under: uncultured bacterium
Lineage: Bacteria
Description: partial 16S ribosomal RNA
Rfam family: Bacterial small subunit ribosomal RNA
Source: RNAcentral